UACGUAGGGUGCGAGCGUUAAUCGGAAUUACUGGGCGUAAAGCGUGUGCAGGCGGUUCUCCAAGUCCGUUGUGAAAGCCCCGGGCUCAACCUGGGAAUGGCAGUGGAAACUAGGGGACUGGAAUCUGGCAGAGGGGGGUGGAAUGCCGCGUGUAGCAGUGAAAUGCGUAGAGAUGCGGCGGAACACCGAUGGCGAAGGCAGCCCCCUGGGCUGAGAUUGACGCUCAGGCACGAAAGCGUGGGGAGCAAACAGG
This 253-nucleotide ribosomal RNA is filed under the name uncultured bacterium. RNAcentral describes it as "partial 16S ribosomal RNA". It matches the Rfam family "Bacterial small subunit ribosomal RNA", at positions 524 to 776 of the family's 1533-position model. The record is from RNAcentral.